Talpa occidentalis (Iberian mole) is the source of this 1558-nucleotide long non-coding RNA. RefSeq lists it as uncharacterized. NCBI's taxonomy places the organism in Eukaryota, Metazoa, Chordata, Mammalia, Eulipotyphla, Talpidae. The transcript has 4 exons. The record is from RefSeq and is a predicted model, not a curated record.
CUGCGCGCCAUGUGGGACCCUCCUCCGGUGGCCGGGGAGCAGCCGGGGAUCGAACCGACGCUGCAGAGGCUGCGGGCAGCUUCGCAACCCAGUGCUCAACUGCUGCGCAACCGGGGAAGCCCCUACUCCUGGACGAGAAGGAAUUGAAAUACUAUUCAUGGAGUCAGAAAUACCAGAAGUUUCCGCAGUCCAUAAGAUAAGUAAUCAGUAGCACUCCCAUUGAAACUUAGUCAAUGCAGGCCACACCUGUGCCCGUAACCACUGUGAGGAUGAGUUUUGCACUGGUAGAGCUACUCACCAUGUUCUCUGAGCAGGUCAUUGUCUUCUGUGGUAAAUCUGAAGCCAUAGAAGUUUAUAUCCUCUGCUGCUUUGUGUAAAUUCCAGGUAUGUCUGUAUCUCUCAGGCAAGAUAUGAAAAUUCACCAAUUGUGGUAAGAAUGCAAGUGUUCUGCAAGAAUUGGUAUGGGUAGGAAUUUCCCUGAGCCUACAUGUCUCUGGAUGUUGAAAACAACAGCUCCUGUUAUAGGAGAGUUUGGCCUCAGAUUCCAAAGCCAGAACCAGAAGUGCCAGGUACCCCUCUGUAGUGAGGUGUUGGAUUUUGCCCAUAACCAUCAUCAAACUAGUCCUCACGAAUGUACUCAUCCCUACUUCAGAGAUGUGAAAUAGUUGAAGUGGAAAAGAAGAGAGAAUCUUCUGAGGUAGCUUCUUAAAGAGACAUUUUCUCACCUCAUAACAGAGAGAGAUACUCCGGUUUUCCCUAUUUUGAAGCAAGUGCCAGAGACCUCAGAAACUUGCCCCAUUAGGGUUCCUUAGCACUGUACUCACUGCAGCCACUCUUAGCACCUUUUGACUUCUUUAAAAAAAAGAUGUCUCUCCAUAAAUCCCACUAGUCCAUAGAUCUCUGACUGAAGGUGAGACCCAAGUUUGCAUUGGAAAUCUUCCCUUUCUAAUGUUUUAUUUUGAAAACAACCAGGGCGUCACAUGGCUAGAAAGAGUUGCACGACCCCCAUUUGUGCCUGUGUCUAUGGGCCCACAUCUGGCUCUCAGAGUGGUGGGAAGAAGUGACACUGCCUGAAGGUCCUCUGGAUUCUAAACUGCUCAAUGCGCUGGAAGGUGAGAGGAUUCACCAGAGACAGAGCGGGGAACAGAACACCAGACUGACUGAAAUACACUGCUGAGGGGAGCAGCGGGUGAGACAGGAGAGGUCUGCUGCGCCAUGUGGGAUUCUCGCCAUCCAGCCGGGAUCGAAACCACGUUGCAGAGGCUGCGGACAGCUUCACAGCACUGCGCUCAACUGCUUGCGCCACCAGGGAAGGCCCCACUACCAUGUAUUUUUUAAAACAGGGAUACAGGCCAGAGGCGUGGGAGAGGGAGAGGAUUCACCGGAGACAGAGCGGGGAACAGAACACCAGACUGACGAAAUACACUGCUGAGGGGAGCAGCGGGCGCGACAGGAGAGGUCUACUUCGCGGCGUGGGAUUCUCGCCAGCCGUCCAGGAUCGAACCUGUGCUGCAGAGGCCGCGGACAGCUUCACAGUGCAGCGCUCAACCGCCUACGC